GGAUGUAGCUCAGGGGUAGAGCAUUUGCUUAGCAUGUAUGAGGCCCUGAGUUCAAUCCCCAGCAAUGCA
Molecule: transfer RNA, 69 nt
Filed under: Marmota monax (woodchuck)
Lineage: Eukaryota; Metazoa; Chordata; Mammalia; Rodentia; Sciuridae
Description: tRNA.Ala
Rfam family: tRNA (bases 4-64)
About the family: Transfer RNA (tRNA) molecules are approximately 80 nucleotides in length. Their secondary structure includes four short double-helical elements and three loops (D, anti-codon, and T loops).
Source: RNAcentral